This 1382-nucleotide ribosomal RNA is filed under the name Streptococcus pneumoniae MLV-016. RNAcentral describes it as "bacterial LSU rRNA". It matches the Rfam family "Bacterial large subunit ribosomal RNA", at positions 908 to 2285 of the family's 2925-position model. Lineage: Bacteria; Bacillati; Bacillota; Bacilli; Lactobacillales; Streptococcaceae. The record is from RNAcentral.
CACUGUUAUGGCUAGGGGGUUAUUGCAACUUACCAACCCAUGGCAAACUCAGAAUACCAUCAAGUGGUUCCUCGGGAGACAGACAGCGGGUGCUAACGUCCGUUGUCAAGAGGGAAACAACCCAGACCGCCAGCUAAGGUCCCCAAUGAUAGAUUAAGUGGUAAACGAAGUGGGAAGGCCCAGACAGCCAGGAUGUUGGCUUAGAAGCAGCCAUCAUUUAAAGAAAGCGUAAUAGCUCACUGGUCGAGUCGUCCUGCGCGGAAGAUGUAACGGGGCUCAAAUCUAUAACCGAAGCUGCGGAUGCCGGUUUACCGGCAUGGUAGGGGAGCGUUCUGUAGGCCGAUGAAGGUGCAUUGUAAAGUGUGCUGGAGGUAUCAGAAGUGCGAAUGUUGACAUGAGUAGCGAUAAAGCGGGUGAAAAGCCCGCUCGCCGAAAGCCCAAGGUUUCCUGCGCAACGUUCAUCGGCGUAGGGUGAGUCGGCCCCUAAGGCGAGGCAGAAAUGCGUAGUCGAUGGGAAACAGGUUAAUAUUCCUGUACUUGAUUCAAAUGCGAUGUGGGGACGGAGAAGGUUAGGUUGGCAAGCUGUUGGAAUAGCUUGUUUAAGCCGGUAGGUGGAAGACUUAGGCAAAUCCGGGUCUUCUUAACACCGAGAAGUGACGACGAGUGUCUACGGACACGAAGUAACCGAUACCACGCUUCCAGGAAAAGCCACUAAGCUUCAGUUUGAAUCGAACCGUACCGCAAACCGACACAGGUGGGCAGGAUGAGAAUUCUAAGGCGCUUGAGAGAACUCAGGAGAAGGAACUCGGCAAAUUGAUACCGUAACUUCGGGAGAAGGUAUGCCCUCUAAGGUUAAGGACUUGCUCCGUAAGCCCCGGAGGGUCGCAGAGAAUAGGUGGCUGCGACUGUUUAUUAAAAACACAGCACUCUGCUAACACGAAAGUGGACGUAUAGGGUGUGACGCCUGCCCGGUGCUGGAAGGUUAAUUGAAGAUGUGAGAGCAUCGGAUCGAAGCCCCAGUAAACGGCGGCCGUAACUAUAACGGUCCUAAGGUAGCGAAAUUCCUUGUCGGGUAAGUUCCGACCCGCACGAAUGGCGUAACGAUGGCCACACUGUCUCCUCCUGAGACUCAGCGAAGUUGAAGUGGUUGUGAAGAUGCAAUCUACCCGCUGCUAGACGGAAAGACCCCGUGAACCUUUACUGUAGCUUUGCAUUGGACUUUGAAGUCACUUGUGUAGGAUAGGUGGGAGGCUUUGAAGCAGAGACGCCAGUCUCUGUGGAGCCGUCCUUGAAAUACCACCCUGGUGUCUUUGAGGUUCUAACCUAGACCCGUCAUCCGGGUCGGGGACCGUGCAUGGUAGGCAUUUUGACUGGGGCGGUCU